RNAcentral lists this small nuclear RNA (18 nucleotides) under Arabidopsis thaliana (thale cress). RNAcentral's name for it is "snRNA_08783". The record is from RNAcentral. Lineage: Eukaryota; Viridiplantae; Streptophyta; Magnoliopsida; Brassicales; Brassicaceae.
CCUACUGAUGCCCGCGUC